GUCUGGUCAGCAGCUUUGGCAAUCUUGGACACAGAAGCAAACACUCCUGAGAUGGCAAAGGAGGAAAAAGCAAAGCAGGGGUCCAAUUGAGAAGGAACGUCUUGAAGUGACAAAGAACCCAUAUAAGUCCAGCCUAUAAGGUCUUCACCAGAGGCCCUGUUGUAUGACCCACAACCCUGAGAAGUGAGUUUGUACCCCGCCUCGAGCC
This is a long non-coding RNA of Sceloporus undulatus (fence lizard), 208 nucleotides long. RefSeq lists it as uncharacterized. The record is from RefSeq and is a predicted model, not a curated record. The transcript has 3 exons. Lineage: Eukaryota; Metazoa; Chordata; Lepidosauria; Squamata; Phrynosomatidae.